Molecule: ribosomal RNA, 1480 nt
Filed under: Lampropedia sp.
Lineage: Bacteria; Pseudomonadati; Pseudomonadota; Betaproteobacteria; Burkholderiales; Comamonadaceae
Description: bacterial SSU rRNA
Rfam family: Bacterial small subunit ribosomal RNA
Source: RNAcentral
AGAGUUUGAUCCUGGCUCAGAUUGAACGCUGGCGGCAUGCUUUACACAUGCAAGUCGAACGGCAGCACGGGUGCUUGCACCUGGUGGCGAGUGGCGAACGGGUGAGUAACACAUCGGAACAUGCCUAGUUGUGGGGGACAACUACUCGAAAGAGUAGCUAAUACCGCAUGAUAUCUAAGGAUGAAAGCAGGGGACCUUUCGGGGCCUUGUGCAACUAGAGUGGCCGAUGGCAGAUUAGGUAGUUGGUGAGGUAAAGGCUCACCAAGCCUGCGAUCUGUAGCUGGUCUGAGAGGACGACCAGCCACACUGGAACUGAGACACGGUCCAGACUCCUACGGGAGGCAGCAGUGGGGAAUUUUGGACAAUGGGCGCAAGCCUGAUCCAGCAAUGCCGCGUGCAGGAUGAAGGCCUUCGGGUUGUAAACUGCUUUUGUACAGAACGAAACGAGAUUUGCUAAUACCAGGUCUUAAUGACGGUACUGUAAGAAUAAGCACCGGCUAACUACGUGCCAGCAGCCGCGGUAAUACGUAGGGUGCAAGCGUUAAUCGGAAUUACUGGGCGUAAAGCGUGCGCAGGCGGCUAUGCAAGACUGAUGUGAAAUCCCCGGGCUCAACCUGGGAACUGCAUUAGUGACUGCAUAGCUGGAGUGCGGCAGAGGGGGAUGGAAUUCCGCGUGUAGCAGUGAAAUGCGUAGAUAUGCGGAGGAACACCGAUGGCGAAGGCAAUCCCCUGGGCCUGCACUGACGCUCAUGCACGAAAGCGUGGGGAGCAAACAGGAUUAGAUACCCUGGUAGUCCACGCCCUAAACGAUGUCAACUGGUUGUUGGGAAUUAACUUUCUCAGUAACGAAGCUAACGCGUGAAGUUGACCGCCUGGGGAGUACGGUCGCAAGACUAAAACUCAAAGGAAUUGACGGGGACCCGCACAAGCGGUGGAUGAUGUGGUUUAAUUCGAUGCAACGCGAAAAACCUUACCCACCUUUGACAUGUACGGAAGGAUUUAGAGAUAGAUCUGUGCUCGCAAGAGAGCCGUAACACAGGUGCUGCAUGGCUGUCGUCAGCUCGUGUCGUGAGAUGUUGGGUUAAGUCCCGCAACGAGCGCAACCCUUGUCAUUAGUUGCCAUCAUUUGGUUGGGCACUCUAAUGAGACUGCCGGUGAUAAACCGGAGGAAGGUGGGGAUGACGUCAAGUCCUCAUGGCCCUUAUAGGUGGGGCUACACACGUCAUACAAUGGCUGGUACAAAGGGUUGCCAACCCGCGAGGGGGAGCUAAUCCCAUAAAGCCAGUCGUAGUCCGGAUCGCAGUCUGCAACUCGACUGCGUGAAGUCGGAAUCGCUAGUAAUCGUGGAUCAGAAUGUCACGGUGAAUACGUUCCCGGGUCUUGUACACACCGCCCGUCACACCAUGGGAGCGGGUUCUGCCAGAAGUAGGUAGCCUAACCGUAAGGAGGGCGCUUACCACGGCAGGGCUCGUGACUGGGG